This 468-nucleotide ribosomal RNA is filed under the name uncultured bacterium. RNAcentral's name for it is "partial 16S ribosomal RNA". It matches the Rfam family "Bacterial small subunit ribosomal RNA", at positions 28 to 507 of the family's 1533-position model. The record is from RNAcentral.
GACGAACGCUGGCGGCGUGCUUAACACAUGCAAGUCGAACGGAAAGGCCCUGCUUUUGUGGGGUGCUCGAGUGGCGAACGGGUGAGUAACACGUGAGUAACCUGCCCUUGACUUUGGGAUAACUUCAGGAAACUGGGGCUAAUACCGGAUAGGAGCUCCUGCUGCAUGGUGGGGGUUGGAAAGUUUCGGUGGUUGGGGAUGGACUCGCGGCUUAUCAGCUUGUUGGUGGGGUAGUGGCUUACCAAGGCUUUGACGGGAAGCCGGCCUGAGAGGGUGACCGGCCACAUUGGGACUGAGAUACGGCCCAGACUCCUACGGGAGGCAGCAGUGGGGAAUAUUGCACAAUGGGCGGAAGCCUGAUGCAGCAACGCCGCGUGCGGGAUGACGGCCUUCGGGUUGUAAACCGCUUUCGCCUGUGACGAAGCGUGAGCGACGGUAAUGGGUAAAGAAGCACCGGCUAACUACGUG